Molecule: long non-coding RNA, 5268 nt
Organism: Peromyscus californicus insignis
Lineage: Eukaryota; Metazoa; Chordata; Mammalia; Rodentia; Cricetidae
Exons: 4
Source: RefSeq, a predicted model, not a curated record
CCAGUGAUGAAGUUCUGUGCUGUCUGUCCACUUCUUCUCUAGUCUCCUGACUAAACUUCAAACACAGAUGCUUCCUACAGCCUGCUACUACUAUCACCAUGUGACAGACCAGGCCCGGAUUCUCCAACAUUUCCGUUUUGAAGGAGGAAGGUCACUCCAUACCUGUUCUGAGGCUGACACGUAGUUCUUGGAUCUGAUAUGAUUGAGCUCCUUGAGUGGUACCUUUACAAAUGGAACUAUCUUCAUGUCAACCUCAGGUGUGACCCCUGAGCUGCAAUGAAGCAGAGGUCCUCUGUGUGCUGAACUACAGUGGUGAGAAACAACAGACCAAAGACAGAUUUCAUCAUAUUCUAUCAAAGACCUAAUAGACCCAAGAUAUUUCUUCAAAACCAAGAAGAGAAGUUAACAUGAAUUUAUACAUCUUUUUUAACUUUAAUGAAACAUUACAAUUAUUGUACUUGCCAAAAGAUACAUGGUUGGAAUGAAAAUGGAAAAUUCCAUUACCCUUUUUUGUACCUCAAGUGUGGCUGAUGGACCAUUUGAGAUGAUCAUGAUCUAUCAUCCAUCUAUCUAUUUAUUUAUAUAUACAUAUAUAUAUAUGUAUAUAUAUAUGUCAUCUCUUUUCUAUCAUGUGUCUAUCAUGUAUUAUCUGUUUAACAUAUCAAAUAAAUCUUUAUAAUUUAACCCUUCAUUUUUUAUUAUUCUGUCAUCAGAUGCAAUAUUAAAGAAAGUAAUCAUCUUAGUUAACUAUAAAACCAUGGACAUGGUUUCAUGUUUUCACUAUUUGUUAUUUGUGUGACACAUACAGUUUUUUAUUUUCAUUUUAAUGGCCUUUAAAAUGCAUUUAAAUGCAAGGAUAUUGCAUUAUAUAUCAAUUGGACACUGUAGCUUCUUUAGAACAGAUGUUGCUUUGAGUCCAGAGACACCUUGCACACAGCUUUAAGCAUGAUAAAUGUUCCAAACUGUCUGGUAUUAACAAUGUCCCAUCAUCCCACUGUUGACUGUUCCAUACCCAAGCAUGUGAUGUAGCUGUUUGCCUCUUGAGACCAGAGUUAGUCUCUGGAUAUUGAGGGAGCCUGAGAAGUGCUAGGUCAUAACGAUAUUCUUUGUGCUCGUGUUCAUAAUCUACAGGGAACUUUCUGGAAGUCCUCAAUGUUUCCAGCUGUAUCGAGUUAGUUCAAACUUUAAGAUGGAGAUGAGUGGACUUGAGGAAAAAAAGAGAUAUUGUGAAGCUUUUUCACUAGGAUUGACCAUCCCUCAACUGAGGUUCCCCACCCCUGCUUUAUCUAGUCAUUCUCUUCUCAGUGUCCUCAUGUGACUACAGCCAGGUGUAGCAACAAUGGUUCCUAAACUGUGAGCCAUAGGAAGUAAAAAUGGAGUAAAAAUAUUUUUCAUCUGCCAAGUAAGUAUUUUUAUUCCAUGGGCAUAGCAUUUUUUUGUAUUUAAAAUGACAGAUCCUGUCACAAAGGUUCUUAAUAUUAUAUUGAAAAGAUAUCUGUAAUACAGUAGAGGUUAAAAAACUCAUUUAUUUAUAAGACUCUCAGGUCCUGGAGAGGUCUGCUACCUCUUUCUCCCUGCAGACAGUUAAUAUCGUUGAAAAUAAAAAGCUGUUAUAUUAUAUGACAAGCACACUGGUAUUAAAAACAAACACAGCCUGGUUUCAGUAAUGUGUUCCAGGGCUAGUGAACUGUUGGUUCAAAAUGGAACAAAACCAGGAGUAUGUUUCCAUUUUAUUUUUGAAUUUUCCCCACUAUUGAUGCAUUUGUUCUUAUACAUCUGAUUCAUCAGAAAGUAAUAAAAUUAACUAUGGAAAUAAAAUAGUGGGAUUCAUUCUGACAUUCCUAGGUUCAGACUACAAAAUCAUCUAUGAGGCCAUGAAGGAGGCAAACUGAGGGAUGGAGUCUGCUGGGGAAGAAAUACCCUCAUGUAGGGUACUGAGAGGUUCAUGACUUUAGGAAAGCAAGCAACAGAACUUUAAAAAGUGUAUUCCAAUGAAAAGGGAGUCGCAUCCUCAUCCCUGUAGCUUGUCUUGGCCUUGAUUACUUCAUUCCUGAAUCUCUGGAGAUAGUUGAAAGAGUGAGGGUCUCAGAGAGUAGAAUGCAAUAUUUGAUGGUGAUGGGGAACCCAAAGUGUCACAGAAACAUUUCCACAUCUGAUCAUUCUUUCACCAGGACUUGCUGCGUCUGGUACCAUGGUUCUCAAACCUAAGCUUACAGGAUCCUAAAAUUGUGUCAAAGACCACACGAUAGACUGUUGAGUGGUGAAGGGCAGAGGGACUAUAGUGGCUGCUACAGACUGGUUGGUUGUUUAAAGACUCACUUGGAGGUACAUUCUAGGCAUGUUCAGAAGAGAAGGAACAAAAACCCAAAGUGACAUUCAGUGGGGAAAUGGCUAUCCCAUUCCAUGCAAACAUGCAGCAGAUCAGAGGAAAUACAUGCUCCAGCCCCUGUGAACAGCACAAUACCCCAUUUAAUUUUCCUGCUUUAACCCAAGGUUCAUCAAAAGUGGGGAAGAAACAGCUGGAGGGAUGGUGAUAAUUUCAGUUUUUAAUUUGUUUGCCCAGCUGCAGUUCUUCUUCAUUCAAGCCAAUGUUUUCAGCUUCCUACCUUCCACUUGGGUCUGAGGACAAACCAAAUUAGAUUGAAAGCUGUAGUCAUUUGAGGACAUGGAUUACCUUAGAUGAAUUUAUUUAGGAAGGAUUUGCUCUGUACUUUCCUAGGAAAGAUGGGGCAGACAGUGGCUGGCAACAUCUAACAUCCACAUCUUUGAAGCAUCUGCAAUCAGGGAAGAGGAAGGAGAGGAACACACAGGGGUCUUCUGAGCAGAGAUAACUGAGGCAUACAGAUUGCUACAAAACUUUGUAUGGGAAACAGAUAAUCUUACUUAAAUACAGUACCAUUUGUUUUGUUUAAAUCACAUGAAUAAAAUGUUGCAUAUAGUUAUUCUAGUGGAAUGGAGAUCUAGUUAUAAAUACAACCACAAAUGUAAGUACAAUAUCUUUUGCCUAAUUUUCAAAAGAAAUUAUAAUAAAAAACUUAUUUUUAUCAAAUUUGAGAUUGGGGAUAGUAUUUCUUAGUUCAGCCAUUCCUAGAUUUAUCUUGUAAACUAUGGUAAAGUGUCCAUAAACAAUAUUGGUUUAAAAGUAGUUAUAAGAGAUGUUAGAUGUUUAUUUCCAGAGUCUUGGGAAAAAUGGAUACAGGCCAGACUUUCUAUCAUUUUUAGUUUGCUGGUUCUGUAGGAGGAGUAAAGCAGUGGAAUCCAUAGGGAUUUCUGGUUUAAUCUCCAAUAGAAUCCUUUCUGAAAUCCAUCUUUCAUUCCUCUGCUUGGCCUUGCAGACAGAUUUCUCAGGACAGUAUGUGAGAGCUUGGGUUGCUGUGAGAACCAGUCAUGAGCAGAUACUUUGGGAGAAAGGGAAUGUGAAUUGUGAAGGACCCUUCUGUGCUUUAUUUCCUUAAUACUUCUAGAAAAUGCUGUGGUUUUAGGAAUACUUGGUUGAUCUGCUUAUGUUAAUGCUACUGCCAGUUUUAAUUUUUAAGGAUUUAGACAGGGCUAGACUCCUAAAUUUGAGUCUGAAUAGGUGGCUGAGAUUUUCCAUGGCAAGACUUUUAGCUCUGUGUCCAGUUCACUUAGAUGUGUUUCUUCAUUAAAACCAUGGUGUUUGUGACAAGUUAUGACUACCUUCAUUAUUACUUUUAAAACUAUGUGUGUAUAUUGUGGUUUAUAACUUUGAAAAAUCCCAUGCCCAAACCACUAAGCAAGAAUGAGAAUUCUUUCUUGACAUCACAAUGGGCUGUCUGGGGGGAUGAAACCAAACAGAGAUGGUGAUAAAAAUUAAUAAUCAUCGGUCUUGUGGAGAAAGCUUUAAAGAUGGUGUGCAAUUAUGAUGAAGAGGUUUCAUUCAUGGUUGCUGUGGGAUGUCUUUCUGUAUAUUCUGCUGUGAAUAUGUGUUGUUUCCAUAGGUUAAGAAAUGGACUGCUUUGGUCUAUGGCAAGGCAGCUUAUAGGCAGGUGAAAUCCAGGACAGAGACAAGAAAAGUAGAGGUACAGGCAGAGAGGAGAUGCCAGCCGCCGCCAAGAGAAGCAAGAUGUGAAAGUACCAGUAAGCUGUGGCCACGUGGCAAUUUAUAGAUCAAUAGAAAUGGGUUCAGUUAUAAGAACUAGCUAGCAAGAAGCCUGAGCCAUUAGGCCAUACAGUUUGUAAAUAAUAUAAGCCUCUCUGUGUUUACUUGGGUCUGAGUGGCUAUGGGCCUGAGAGGGACUGGAGAAACCUUCCGACUACACAUGAUGGAAUUGAGUUUCAUGUCUUCCAAAAUCCAUUCAUUAAAUGCCAAAGAUAUAGAAUCUACUUAAUAGAUAUUUCACCAGGGUCAGGGCACAAACAGAAAACUUUGUCUUUACUGUGAAAUAAUAAAUAAAUAAAUAAAUAAAUAAAUAAAUAAGUACUGUCAAGCCAACAUAUUCAAAAAGCUAAGCAAGAGCAAGAAAUGCAGGUCUCAGUUGGGGUGUCUCAACUGGUGCCAGCAACCACUGAGGCACAAAAUAUCCUCAAAACCCAGAGAUCUCUACUCCACUAUCUGGUGACCAAUAAACAUUAGUCCUGAUGGACUCUGUUGCGGAAAUGCUCUAUGUACUUAGAUUCAUGUUUUCCCAGGCAUGUCUCUGGGGAUGCAACCCUUCUGUUUUUAAUAGUAUACGUUUAACAUAUCUAAGACAUGCUAUUGAUUGUCAAAACAACCAUAUAGAAUGGUUUGCUCUUCUCUAAGAGACACUUUCCCUAGGUUUAGACAUUCUGACCAAAUCUGCAUAUUUUAAAAUGUCUUUAACAUUUUCAAUGUGCUAGGAUGAGCAACAGUUCAAUCAAGCAAAUGGUCAGAGAUCAAUCAGACUCAGAGUUAAGACGGUUGAAUAAGAGAGCUGGCAAUUUCAUGGUCCUUUUUUCUUUUAAGUUUCUUUAGAGACCAAAUGAGAUAAAUUAUUAUCUGACCCACUGCUUGGGGAUAAACGUUAAAUGGUUUAUCUGGGCAACCCAAUCACCUCCAGACAGACUGGAGAAUUGGCCUAAAUAAUGAAGGUGUGUGUCAUUCAUCUCUUUGUCUGGCUCCUGGUAACCUUGACGGGAGUGAGUGGAGACAUGCUGAUUUGUAUACACUCAAUAAUUCAAGGUGUUUGCUUAUCUUUCCUUGUCAGAUGCUGCUCAUCCAUAGUCUAUGUCACCAUCUAAUUAGACUUUUUUUUUAACUUUGCCUUUCACAUAAACCUUUCUUUUUUG